Molecule: long non-coding RNA, 1577 nt
Organism: Monodelphis domestica (gray short-tailed opossum)
Lineage: Eukaryota; Metazoa; Chordata; Mammalia; Didelphimorphia; Didelphidae
Source: RefSeq, a predicted model, not a curated record
AGGUGGGGGCGGGGAGAGCAGGCUGGCAUUUCCCUAGGGCCCGAGAUCAGGGCUCCUUCCCCAGCAUGUGGGUGGGCGCGGGCAGCCCCGCUGCCCCGUGACAGGCCCCGGAGGGCUGCUUCUCCCCGGGUGUGCUCUGACCUGACUGGGGAAGAGGCCGGAGCAGCCCCGCCCCCAUUUGCCUCCUUCCUUUCCUGGGGAGACAAAGGCGGGCCAAGGCUUUGGAGGCACACAGAGUCGCCCCCGCCUUCCGGGUUUGUCCUUUUUAUGGAGAAUUUAAGUUGAGGGACAGCCCCUCCCCCCACCACAAGCCCUUACAAGUGGCUCCUGCCCCGCCUCUCUCAGCGAACAUGCGCACACGCACCUUCCCCCCCCACCCCACCCCCGCUCCCAGUUCAGUAAGCAGGAACGGGUCCACCGGUGUCUUCCCGGUCCUCAAAAGUUAGGGGGGAGAAAGUCUCAGCUGCCAGGGCGGGGAGGCCGGAGCGCCGCCACUCACUGACUCCCUCCCCUCCCCCUCUCAAGCAGCAAGGGUCCAAGAAGAACAGAGCUAACACACUGCUCCAGGCUGUGCUGCAUCCCUGGGGCUCUGGUGAAGACCAAGGCAGCAGCAGCUGGGGCUGUAUUUGCUCCAGACAGGAGACCCUCCGCCCAGCUCCUGGAAGAUCAUGACAGCCAAGGCUUGGCCCCAGUUUUCCUGUCCCAGCAGCGAGCACUGCUCAGAACCUCAGUUUGUGCCAGGUACAAAACAGAUCUCGGCUGCCCUCAGGGAACUUUCCUGUUAAUGGGGGAAGCCAGUGUAGAAGAGGGAGCUGAAGCGACUGGGAGUAGGGAAACAAGGAGAGGGUGAGGGGGAGUGAUGCAGGGAGUGGUGCUGCUGGUCUAUGGACAGUCAGAGAAACCUCCCUGCACGACCUUCAGACUGAAGUCUGUGUGUAGAAGCUGUGCUGGGCCUGAGGUGCUCUUUGGUACCUGUGGAGAACCUGGUGUCCACAGAGGGCUGUGUGCUCUGGUGAGGUGGACUGCUUCUUGGAGGGAAGGGCUGUAAGAACACGGACAUCACCAGUGGAGCUGAGUCUGUUUCUAUUGCUUUUCUGUAAAAAUGACCAAGAGGGGAUUCAGAGGGGAUUCAGCUGAGGGAGGACAGAGUCCAAAGCCUGAGGCAGGGUAGACAGAGCACUGUAUGGAGAGUCAGAUCCUCAUCAUGGCCUCAGCUCAGGACUCCCCAUGACUGCUGGGAGCAACCUGGUGCUUUGAAGUCUUCAGGAGUCUCCCCAGCUCCUGUGGCCAGAGGGACAGCUGAGGGCUCUACCUGGAGUUCUGUGGCCCAGAGAGAAGUUCUUGUGUCCUGGGAGGCUCCUGAGAACAAUGAACACACACAAGACAGCUCUGAUGGAACUAGGCAACAGCUCAGCUGAGAAAAAGGUUCCUGUAUCUUGUCCUAGAAGAAAUUCCCCAAAGACUAGAGUAGCCAUCUGGGGACUGGGAUGUGAUGGAGACUGCUGCUCCUCUGAGACCUUGCCAGAGUCUUUUCCCUUAGCACUGUAAUAAUUAAAAUAAUAAUAUUUCUACCCAGA